UUGAAACGAAUCUGGAAAAAAAGGAGGCUAUAAUAACUUGUAUAUUUUUCAGUAGUCUCGAUCGAACCAUCUACGUAUAUAAUCGUUUGCUUCGUUUGUUUCUCUCGUCUAGAGUCAUUCACGGUUUCGGCAUGAAGAUAUUUCUGGCAGGCUGCUUAUUGGUUGCGGUUAUAGCGGGUGCCCAGCCGAGUCAUCGUGAUGACGUCAUAAUGUAUUCCAGCUCCAACGGCCAGGUGAAAUAUUGGCUCAACUGCGAGUUCCACGGCAACGACGUCGAGGAGAAGCCCAGCACCUUGGGGCAAUGCGGAAGCGUCUGUCUGGCCAACGCGGACUGCAUCCAUUUCACAUGGACCGACGGCGUUUGUUACAUGAAGAACACCAAAGACAUUGACUUCCGCACUCGACUCGACGGCGCCGUUUGCGGAUUCGUCAAGUGCAGAAUUUUCGACUGUUAAUUCUAAUUCUAAUUCACAAUAAUGUAUUGGAUUCUCUUGCUAAAAUAAAUGGUAAUUUAUGCCAAUAA
This is a long non-coding RNA of Daphnia pulicaria, 523 nucleotides long. RefSeq lists it as uncharacterized. NCBI's taxonomy places the organism in Eukaryota, Metazoa, Arthropoda, Branchiopoda, Diplostraca, Daphniidae. The record is from RefSeq and is a predicted model, not a curated record. The transcript is spliced from 2 exons.